GGAAGUGAGGGUGACCUGGCUGUAACACCUGUCACCCCAUUGAUAAAAGGGUUGAUUUGGCUGAUCUUUUCUCCCUCACCACUCCAUGUACAUCCCUCCCGAAGCUGUGCACUUGGUAGAAGAGAACCUUCUCUGAUAGAGGAGGACUGUUCAUCGGUCAAGGGUAUACGAGUAGCUGUGCUCCCCUGCUAGACCCUCCAAACAAGCUCUCAAAGCAGACCUAAGUCUAUAUUUUUAAAAGUGCAUAAACUGAAGUUUGGGGAUGAUGAAAGAUAACCACUUAAGUAAUGUGGAAUAAUAAAUAGCUUCAAU
Nomascus leucogenys (northern white-cheeked gibbon) is the source of this 312-nucleotide non-coding RNA. It matches the Rfam family "7SK RNA". From Rfam's summary of the family: 7SK was discovered as an abundant small nuclear RNA in the mid-70s but a possible function has only recently been suggested. Two independent studies have found that 7SK RNA binds the CDK9/cyclin T complex (known as elongation factor P-TEFb). The record is from Rfam. Lineage: Eukaryota; Metazoa; Chordata; Mammalia; Primates; Hylobatidae.